CAGGCCUAACACAUGCAAGUCGAACGGUAACAGGAAGCAGCUUGCUGCUUCGCUGACGAGUGGCGGACGGGUGAGUAAUGUCUGGGAAACUGCCUGAUGGAGGGGGAUAACUACUGGAAACGGUAGCUAAUACCGCAUAACGUCGCAAGACCAAAGAGGGGGACCUUCGGGCCUCUUGCCAUCGGAUGUGCCCAGAUGGGAUUAGCUAGUAGGUGGGGUAACGGCUCACCUAGGCGACGAUCCCUAGCUGGUCUGAGAGGAUGACCAGCCACACUGGAACUGAGACACGGUCCAUACUCCUACGGGAGGCAGCAGUGGGGAAUAUUGCACAAUGGGCGCAAGCCUGAUGCAGCCAUGCCGCGUGUAUGAAGAAGGCCUUCGGGUUGUAAAGUACUUUCAGCGGGGAGGAAGGCGAUAAGGUUAAUAACCUUGUCGAUUGACGUUACCCGCAGAAGAAGCACCGGCUAACUCCGUGCCAGCAGCCGCGGUAAU
RNAcentral lists this ribosomal RNA (492 nucleotides) under uncultured bacterium. RNAcentral describes it as "bacterial SSU rRNA". It matches the Rfam family "Bacterial small subunit ribosomal RNA", at positions 43 to 524 of the family's 1533-position model. The record is from RNAcentral.